This 498-nucleotide ribosomal RNA is filed under the name uncultured bacterium. Its description in RNAcentral is "partial 16S ribosomal RNA". It matches the Rfam family "Bacterial small subunit ribosomal RNA", at positions 27 to 507 of the family's 1533-position model. The record is from RNAcentral.
GGAUGAACGCUGGCGGCGUGCCUACUCCAUGCAAGUCGAGCGAACGGACGAGAAGCUUGCUUCUCUGAUGUUAGCGGCGGACGGGUGAGUAACACGUGGAUAACCUACCUAUAAGACUGGGAUAACUUCGGGAAACCGGAGCUAAUACCGGAUGAUAUUUUGAACCGCAUGGUUCAAAAGUGAAAGACGGUCUUGCUGUCACUUAUAGAUGGAUCCGCGCUGCAUUAGCUAGUUGGUAAGGUAACGGCUUACCAAGGCAACGAUGCAUAGCCGACCUGAGAGGGUGAUCGGCCACACUGGAACUGAGACACGGUCCAGACUCCUACGGGAGGCAGCAGUAGGGAAUCUUCCGCAAUGGGCGAAAGCCUGACGGAGCAACGCCGCGUGAGUGAUGAAGGUCUUCGGAUCGUAAAACUCUGUUAUUAGGGAAGAACAUAUGUGUAAGUAACUGUGCACAUCUUGACGGUACCUAAUCAGAAAGCCACGGCUAACUACGUG